GACCAAGGGUUCCAGGGCUAGGCUAAUCCGCCCUGGGUAAGUCGGGACCUAAGGCGAGGCCGACAGGCGUAGUCGAUGGACAACCAGUUGAUAUUCUGGUACCGACACACAACCGACAAUACCAAAACACAUGAGACUAACUCCCCGGUCCACCCGUGGCGUCUUCGGAUGUCUGGUUGGUGGGUUGGUGAGGACCUGAGUGUGGAGUCGGUAAGCGUGAGGUGUGACGCAGAAAGGUAGCCAGGCCACGCGAUGGUAGUCGUGGUCUAAGGUCGUAGCAUGUGGGGGUA
This 290-nucleotide ribosomal RNA is filed under the name Mycobacterium tuberculosis. RNAcentral's name for it is "partial 23S ribosomal RNA". It matches the Rfam family "Bacterial large subunit ribosomal RNA", at positions 1343 to 1535 of the family's 2925-position model. Lineage: Bacteria; Bacillati; Actinomycetota; Actinomycetes; Mycobacteriales; Mycobacteriaceae. The record is from RNAcentral.